GAGAGGAGGGGGGUCUCACUCACAUACACGAAAAUGAAAAAAAUAAAAAAAACAACACUUCAGACCUUGAAACAGAUCUGGUGUUUUAGUCGCACACUUCAAUGGCUGUAUUUCUGACAGAUUAUUACGAUCUUAUAAAUUUAAAAAAAGUACAUGAAGGCUCUCACCUGUUUAUUUUCCCACUCCUCUGUAACUUCCAAGGGGAUAAAGAUCAAGGCUGAUGAAAGGCGAGGAGGGCAGAGUGUGAGUUUGGGGAUGACUGAAAAAAAAAAGAAAGAAAAAAAGAAAAGAAAAGAAAAAACGCUUUACCUGCCAAACCGUCGCAUUGGGCUUGACUUGCGCGACACUGUCCGAGCGCGUCCUCGAGGUCCGAUUGGAGAGGGGGGGGGCGAGAGGGGGAGUGUGUGUGUUUAAAACCGGGCACGGGAGCGCGCCUGUGAGCGGCAUUUUAAAUAGGAGGGAGAGACACACACAGAGAGAGAGAGAGAGAGAGAGAGAGAGAGAGAGGAGAGGGGGUUAUUAUUCAAGAGUGCAGCAGUCAGACGCCGCUGCAAGAGGGGAAAAAAAAUGGAGGAGGUGGGAAAUCAGUCAAUCAGAGACUGAUGCGGUUCACUUUUUUUUUCCCUCUGUUUUGAGCAUUUCUGCAGGAGAGAGCGGAUCGCAGCGGAGAAGAGAGAGAAGAGAGAGGAGAGGGGAGAGAAGACAGGAGAUGGAUGGAGCGGAGGAGAGAGGAGAUGCGCUUCAAGAUGAGUCCCGGGCUGAGUGUAGCGGCAGCGUGGCGCAGUGCCCGCGCUCUUGUCCAUACAGCUGACACCCAUGGGAGAAAAGGGAGUCGGACCUGAAACCUGACAGUGUUCGGCCUCACCGGAAGCCUCACCUCUGGUUUCCUCUUGCAACAGGUGGCGGAGCCAAGUGACGCACAAAUAAAACCAGGCAGGAGAAAGGGAGGAUGGGGAAGUAUGGAUUUCACCGUGCUCCAAAGCGGGAGGGUGUGUUUUGUUUAAUGUCAGUGAGGAUCGCAGUAGGGAUCUGUUAUCUGUUAUCACACGAGGUCAUAAAAGUUUCAGUCAGCUGGGGAAAAAAAAAAGAUUAUCUGUGAUUAGGUGAGAUGAUCCUUCACAUAAUGUCAGAAUUUCAUAAUGAAAGUAUUGAUUUCUGUCAUAAUUUGGUUUUUAAUGGCAGCUUAUUAUUUUGCAACGAGAAGACUGACAUUUUAGUGUCUUUCUGCUUCUAACAUGCAGCUACAUCAUAUUUAGCAUAUCAUUAAUAUACUGUUCUAAUGACAUGUUAUUAUAGCAACUCUUAGUGUAAGUAACCAUUUUCCACAUGGUAUAUAUUCAGCAUUAAUACUCAAAGACACUGAAUCUGCUAUUUUUCCUCAUUCAUCUUCUCCUGUUGUCUCCAAAUGACAUGGCGUAUGAGUCGACCACUUUCACUCUUCAAAACAAUGUCAUAUUUUUUGUAACCUUCGCAUUAAAAAUUGGAUAUUUGUUUCUUGUAAAGAGAAUGGUGUUAUGUAAUGUAUCAUCUUUGACUGAAACUGUUCCCCUUUCCUGUUUGACAGACAUAUUGUUAGAGAUGAUAAGUCACUACAACAGAAUCUACACAUUAAGGGAAGUGUAGUGAAUAGUGAAUUAUAAAUGCAUUUCUGAUGCUUUUAUAGCCACUGUUUCUUUUUUGAUAAAAUGUCAUUCACUCCACAAAGCCAGCUGGUAAUUAAGGACCCUUCAGACUGUAAGUUAUCAUGUUUUGAUGGAACAUUCAGUCCUAAUUAUUUCCAAUUCAGUUCAAUCCAGCAGCCCUCUAAUGUAAUCAAGUCACUCCAUUUAUUGUCACAAUAAUGUAUUCAAACUGGGGUGUGGCUGAGUUCUUAUAAAAAUCAUCAUACCACCUGCAUGAAAGGAGGAAAUCAAGUAUACCUCUUCAGGUCUCCUGAGUGUGUGUGUGUCUGUAGAUUAAUACGUGGGGCUGCAAGAGUGUGUGUGUGUGUGUAUGAGUGUGCUGAUAUUUGACAGUCUUGGACAUGUUCCUACACUGGCUGUGAGUGGCCUGAGGGAAGCAGGCCUACUAGAGAAUGAGCCAGACAGUUGGCAAAGCCUCUGCUUCCGUCUCAGCUGUCGUUGGUAGUCUGGCCAUGUGGCUGAGACACUGCUUCCUGUGUCCAAACACUGGAAAAACCUUGAAUCUCAUGUGCUCUAAUCCUAUUUGUUGGAUUAAAAUAAAGAAUUUUAAUAUGUAUUGAAAAGCA
Long non-coding RNA from Lates calcarifer (barramundi perch), 2248 nucleotides. RefSeq lists it as uncharacterized. The transcript is spliced from 2 exons. NCBI's taxonomy places the organism in Eukaryota, Metazoa, Chordata, Actinopteri, Centropomidae. The record is from RefSeq and is a predicted model, not a curated record.